RNAcentral lists this long non-coding RNA (631 nucleotides) under Homo sapiens (human). RNAcentral's name for it is "HSALNT0353748". Lineage: Eukaryota; Metazoa; Chordata; Mammalia; Primates; Hominidae. The record is from RNAcentral.
CGGCGGCGCCCGCCCGCGCCUCCAUCCGGGUCCUGGCGCGGUGCUCUCCCGGCAGCGACGGGCGCGAGGGCCGGGGCAUUCCCACGGCCGCGACGGCCCUCUCCGCGAGCGCGAGACGGAGUCUUGCUAUGUUGCCCAGGCUGGUCUUGAACUCCGGGGCUCAGACAGUCCUCCCACCUUGGGCUCCCAGAGUGCUGGGAUUACUGCUGUGAGCCACUGCACCUGCCUGCAUCAUGCUUAGGUUUGAAUGUGGUUGUGUGAUGAUCAGAGCUGCUGCAGCCAUCUUGUGACCACGAAGGGAUGUACAUGAAGCAUGGCACCAACAGCUGCUCCUGUGAGGCCUCAAGAAGCUUACAAUCGUGGCAGAAGCUGAAGGGGGAGCCAGCGUGUGGCAUGGCAAGGGAAGGAGCAAGAGAGAGAGGGAGGAGCUGCCAGGCUCUUGAACAACCAGAUCUCACGUGAACUCACAGAUUGAAAUUCACUCAUUACUGUGAGGACACACCAAGCCAUUUAUGAGGGAUGCACCCCUAUGACCCAAACACCUCCUACUAGGCCCACCUCCAACAUCAGAGGUCACAUGAAACGAGAUGUAUAGGGGACAAAACAGUCAAACCAUAUCAGUCCCACCAGC